Molecule: ribosomal RNA, 667 nt
Filed under: uncultured Serratia sp.
Lineage: Bacteria; Pseudomonadati; Pseudomonadota; Gammaproteobacteria; Enterobacterales; Yersiniaceae
Description: bacterial SSU rRNA
Rfam family: Bacterial small subunit ribosomal RNA
Source: RNAcentral
GGAGCUAACGCGUUAAGUCGACCGCCUGGGGAGUACGGCCGCAAGGUUAAAACUCAAAUGAAUUGACGGGGGCCCGCACAAGCGGUGGAGCAUGUGGUUUAAUUCGAUGCAACGCGAAGAACCUACCUACUCUUGACAUCCAGAGAACUUUCCAGAGAUGGAUUGGUGCCUUCGGGAACUCUGAGACAGGUGCUGCAUGGCUGUCGUCAGCUCGUGUUGUGAAAUGUUGGGUUAAGUCCCGCAACGAGCGCAACCCUUAUCCUUUGUUGCCAGCGGUUAGGCCGGGAACUCAAAGGAGACUGCCAGUGAUAAACUGGAGGAAGGUGGGGAUGACGUCAAGUCAUCAUGGCCCUUACGAGUAGGGCUACACACGUGCUACAAUGGCGCAUACAAAGAGAAGCGACCUCGCGAGAGCAAGCGGACCUCAUAAAGUGCGUCGUAGUCCGGAUUGGAGUCUGCAACUCGACUCCAUGAAGUCGGAAUCGCUAGUAAUCGUAGAUCAGAAUGCUACGGUGAAUACGUUCCCGGGCCUUGUACACACCGCCCGUCACACCAUGGGAGUGGGUUGCAAAAGAAGUAGGUAGCUUAACCUUCGGGAGGGCGCUUACCACUUUGUGAUUCAUGACUGGGGUGAAGUCGUAACAAGGUAACCAAGGGCGAAUUCCAG